GACGAACGCUGGCGGCGUGCUUAACACAUACAAGUCGAGCGGUAAGGCCCUUUCGGGGGUACACGAGCGGCGAACGGGUGAGUAACACGUGGGUGACCUGCCCUCAGCUCUGGGAUAAGCCCGGGAAACUGGGUCUAAUACCGGAUAUGACUCCACGGUGCAUGUCGUGGGGUGGAAAGCCUUGUGCGGCUGAGGAUGGGCCCGCGGCCUAUCAGCUUGUUGGUGGGGUGAUGGCCUACCAAGGCGACGACGGGUAGCCGGCCUGAGAGGGCGACCGGCCACACUGGGACUGAGACACGGCCCAGACUCCUACGGGAGGCAGCAGUGGGGAAUCUUGCGCAAUGGGCGAAAGCCUGACGCAGCGACGCCGCGUGAGGGAUGACGGCCU
RNAcentral lists this ribosomal RNA (388 nucleotides) under uncultured bacterium. RNAcentral describes it as "bacterial SSU rRNA". It matches the Rfam family "Bacterial small subunit ribosomal RNA", at positions 28 to 417 of the family's 1533-position model. The record is from RNAcentral.